Molecule: long non-coding RNA, 1574 nt
Filed under: Octopus sinensis (East Asian common octopus)
Lineage: Eukaryota; Metazoa; Mollusca; Cephalopoda; Octopoda; Octopodidae
Description: uncharacterized LOC118766100
Source: RNAcentral
GAACCCGGAACCAUGUGGUUCAUAAGCAAGCUACUUACCACACAGCCAGUCCUGCGCCUAUAAAAAUUAUAUUGUGGCAGCGGUGGGAUAUAUAUAUAUACAUAUAUAUAUAUAUAUGUAUGAAUGUCUGUAUCUAUUUUGCCAUCACAGCAUGUUAUAAAUGAAUAUUGAAACCACAAACAAUAUGAUUAAUAAGAUAUAUAUCCACAGUAAGUGUAGAGGCCUGUGUGGUUUAUCCAUGGGUCAGAUACAUUAAACAUAUUGUAUGAUAUCAGCAAAUGUGUGUGUGUGUGUACAAUGUUUUUAUACAUGUAUUCUUUCACGUUAUCACCGUUCGCAUCACCAAACUCUGGGCGUGUGGGUGUUUAACAUUAACAUGUGCCAUAUUCCUCGCUAUCCCAAUGGCCUACACCAUCUGGUUGUUCAACUUCCAGUCCUCCAUAAAAAUAGAUUUGGGCCUUGUCUAGUGUAAUAACAGAGCCGGCUUUCUGAUGGAGAAAGAAAAAGAUCAUGUGGCUAUCGACUGAUACAUCUUUAUGUUUACAUACAUAUGUAUACACAACUAUGCACUUUCUGUUUCUCUGUCUCCUCACACCUACACACACACACACACUUGAAUUAUAUAUGUAUGUAUAUGUUCAUGUGUAUGUAUACAUGUAUAUAAUACCUUUGUUCUUCAAACCACUUGUUUCAUUUUAAAAUGAUUCCCAUCAGAGUGAGAAGUCCAUGAAUGAUUACUUUAGCUCUGCAUUCCUAGCAUUGAGUACUUUUGUUGAUUGUAGUAAAUCCUGUUAUCAAUAACAUACACCUUCAGUUAUGUGUGUGUGGAACUAAUUUAACAAUAUAUAUGUGCAUAUGUACACACACAUACGUACACCAUUUAUUUGUGUAUGUGUGUAUAUAUAUAUAUAUAUAUAAUUAUUUAAAAGUUUGCAUUAUGAUUUAGGAGUUGUAGUGCAAGCUCUUAAAUAACAAAGCUAUGGUACUCUACACUUAUAUUUUGUAUUAAGUACUACACCUGAAAGGUAGUCCACUUUUUAAUCAAUUUCAGUAAAUUAAUGACAUAGCUUUACAUAUAUACACACACACCACACAUAUCUUUUUACAUAUGUGUAUAUAUAUAUAUAUAUAUAAUUAUUUAAAAGUUUGCAUUAUGAUUUAGGAGUUGUAGUGCAAGCUCUUAAAUAACAAAGCUAUGGUAGUCCACUUUUUAAUCAAUUUCAGUAAAUUAAUGACAUAGCUUUACAUAUAUACACACACACCACACAUAUCUUUUUACAUAUGUGUAUAUAUAUAUAUAUAUAUAAUUAUAUACACUAAUUUACAUAUAUGUGUGUGCUUGCACAGAUGUGUGUCUGUGUGUGUAUAUAUGUAUAUAUACACACAGCUGGAAACUUACUCUCCCACUCGCUACUACACACACACAUACAUAUAUACAUACAUACACACAUAUAUAUAUGUAUACAGUCUCGAUCCAUCUCAGGCCCUGUGUCUGUCUCAUUCACCAUUGUUCCACUAAAAACUGUUUAAAAUAAUCAAAAAAUUAAUAAUAAAGUAACCAUUAAAACAAAGAA